AGCGAUGAAACUUUAACAGAACCCUUCGGGGCGAAGAUAAAGUGGAUUAGCGGCGGACGGGUGAGUAACACGUGAGUAACCUGCCUUAGACAUUGGGAUAGCCUCGGGAAACCGGGAUUAAUACCAAAUAAAAUCAUAAUGACACAUGUCAUAACGAUCAAAACUCCGGUGGUCUAAGAUGGACUCGCGUCCCAUUAGCUAGUUGGUAGAGUAAAAGCCUACCAAGGCGACGAUGGGUAGCCGGCCUGAGAGGGUGAACGGCCACAUUGGAACUGAGAAACGGUCCAAACUCCUACGGGAGGCAGCAGUGGGGAAUAUUGCACAAUGGAGGGAACUCUGAUGCAGCGACGCCGUGUGAACGAAGAAGGCUUUCGAGUCGUAAAGUUCUUUUAUAUGGGAAGAUAAUGACGGUACCAUAAGAAAAAGCCCCGGCUAACUACGUGCCAGCAGCCGCGGUAAUACGUAGGGGGCUAGCGUUGUCCGGAAUCACUGGGCGUAAAGGGUUCGCAGGCGGAAAUGCAAGUCAGAUGUAAAAGGCAGUAGCUUAACUACUGUAAGCAUUUGAAACUGCAUAUCUUGAGAAGAGUAGAGGUAAGUGGAAUUUUUAGUGUAGCGGUGAAAUGCGUAGAUAUUAAAAAGAAUACCGGUGGCGAAGGCGACUUACUGGGCUCA
This 672-nucleotide ribosomal RNA is filed under the name uncultured Eubacteriales bacterium. RNAcentral's name for it is "bacterial SSU rRNA". It matches the Rfam family "Bacterial small subunit ribosomal RNA", at positions 52 to 737 of the family's 1533-position model. The record is from RNAcentral. Lineage: Bacteria; Bacillati; Bacillota; Clostridia; Eubacteriales.